GAUGAACGCUAGCGAUAGGCUUAACACAUGCAAGUCGAGGGGCAGCAUGGUCUUAGCUUGCUAAGACUGAUGGCGACCGGCGCACGGGUGCGUACGCGUAUGCAACUUGCCUCACAGAGGGGGAUAACCCGUCGAAAGACGGACUAAUACCGCGUACACUUGGGAUAGGGCAUCCUGACCCAAGGAAAUGAAAUUCGCUGUGAGAUAGGCAUGCGUCCCAUUAGCUAGUUGGUGAGGUAACGGCUCACCAAGGCGACGAUGGGUAGGGGAACUGAGAGGUUGAACCCCCACACUGGUACUGAGACACGGACCAGACUCCUACGGGAGGCAGCAGUGAGGAAUAUUGGUCAAUGGGCGAGAGCCUGAACCAGCCAAGUCGCGUGAAGGAUGACUGUCUUAUGGAUUGUAAACUUCUUUUAUACGGGAAUAACAAGAGUCACGUGUGGCUCCCUGCAUGUACCGUAUGAAUAAGCAUCGGCUAACUCCGUG
RNAcentral lists this ribosomal RNA (489 nucleotides) under uncultured bacterium. Its description in RNAcentral is "partial 16S ribosomal RNA". It matches the Rfam family "Bacterial small subunit ribosomal RNA", at positions 28 to 507 of the family's 1533-position model. The record is from RNAcentral.